GGGGGUGCCGCUCACAUGGCUCCCCGAGUGGAGGCUCCAGGAUAUAUAGUCCCUUGGCUUAUCUGUCCUCUCCCCCCAGGUGAAGGCUUCAGCUUGAUGGGAGGCUGUGCAAAAAGACAAAUAUCUCAACACUUAUCCACAAUAGUAUCCUCUUGUAGAGAAUGUUUUUUUGUUGUUGUUGUUGCCUUUCUUUUUUUCUUUCUUUUUUUUUUUUGUAAAUCUCGUUCUGUCUUCUGGCUUCUUCUCUUUGAGCAGACACUCACACAGCAACCCUCUAAUCCUUGUGUGCAGCUCCACCAGACUGCGAGAGGGAGAGAGAGAGAGAGACAGAGAGAGCUACA
Molecule: long non-coding RNA, 341 nt
Organism: Stegastes partitus (bicolor damselfish)
Lineage: Eukaryota; Metazoa; Chordata; Actinopteri; Pomacentridae
Exons: 2
Source: RefSeq, a predicted model, not a curated record